ACGCUGCGGCGUGCCUAAUACAUGCAAGUCGAACGGAGAUAUUCGCUGAUGAAGUACUUCGGUAAUGAAUCUUGGAUAUCUUAGUGGCGGACGGGUGAGUAACGCGUGAGCAACCUGCCUUUCAGAGGGGGAUAACGUUUGGAAACGAACGCUAAUACCGCAUGACAUUAUCUUAUCGCAUGGUAGGAUAAUCAAAGGAGCAAUCCGCUGAAAGAUGGGCUCGCGUCCGAUUAGGUAGUUGGUGGGGUAACGGCCCACCAAGCCGACGAUCGGUAGCCGGACUGAGAGGUUGGACGGCCACAUUGGGACUGAGACACGGCCCAGACUCCUACGGGAGGCAGCAGUAAGGGAUAUUGGUCAAUGGGGGAAACCCUGAACCAGCAACGCCGUGUGAGGGAAGACGGUUUUCGGAUUGUAAACCUCUGUCCUCUGUGAAGAUGAUGACGGUAGCAGAGGAGGAAGCUCCGGCUAACUACGUG
This 479-nucleotide ribosomal RNA is filed under the name uncultured Oscillospiraceae bacterium. Its description in RNAcentral is "bacterial SSU rRNA". It matches the Rfam family "Bacterial small subunit ribosomal RNA", at positions 33 to 507 of the family's 1533-position model. Lineage: Bacteria; Bacillati; Bacillota; Clostridia; Eubacteriales; Oscillospiraceae. The record is from RNAcentral.